This 222-nucleotide ribosomal RNA is filed under the name uncultured bacterium. RNAcentral's name for it is "partial 16S ribosomal RNA". It matches the Rfam family "Bacterial small subunit ribosomal RNA", at positions 109 to 334 of the family's 1533-position model. The record is from RNAcentral.
AGUAAUGUAUGGGGAUCUGCCUGAUGGCGGGGGAUAACUACUGGAAACGGUAGCUAAUACCGCAUAAUGUCUACGGACCAAAGCGGGGGACCUCCGGGCCUCGCGCCAUCAGAUGAACCCAUAUGGGAUUAGCUAGUAGGUGAGGUAACGGCUUACCUAGGCGACGAUCCCUAGCUGGUCUGAGAGGAUGAUCAGCCACACUGGGACUGAGACACGGUCCAG